AGACCCGAAACCCGGUGAUCUAGCCAUGGGCAGGUUGAAGGUUGGGUAACACUAACUGGAGGACCGAACCGACUAAUGUUGAAAAAUUAGCGGAUGACCUGUGGCUGGGGGUGAAAGGCCAAUCAAACCGGGAGAUAGCUGGUUCUCCCCGAAAGCUAUUUAGGUAGCGCCUCGUGAAUUCAUCUCCGGGGGUAGAGCACUGUUUCGGCUAGGGGGCCAUCCCGGCUUACCAACCCGAUGCAAACUGCGAAUACCGGAGAAUGUUAUCACGGGAGACACACGGCGGGUGCUAACGUCCGUCGUGAAGAGGGAAACAACCCAGACCGCCAGCUAAGGUCCCAAAGUCAUGGUUAAGUGGGAAACGAUGUGGGAAGGCCCAGACAGCCAGGAUGUUGGCUUAGAAGCAGCCAUCAUUUAAAGAAAGCGUAAUAGCUCACUGGUCGAGUCGGCCUGCGCGGAAGAUGUAACGGGGCUAAACCAUGCACCGAAGCUGCGGCAGCGAACGUAUCACCCAAGACAACUUUACGGAGUUGACGAUUGACGGAGCGAAGCGACGUCAAAGCGUUCAUUAAAGUCGAGUUGGCUUAGGGAUACGUUCGUUGGGUAGGGGAGCGUUCUGUAAGCCUGUGAAGGUGUGUCGUGAGGCAUGCUGGAGGUAUCAGAAGUGCGAAUGCUGACAUAAGUAACGAUAAAGCGGGUGAAAAGCCCGCUCGCCGGAAGACCAAGGGUUCCUGUCCAACGUUAAUCGGGGCAGGGUGAGUCGACCCCUAAGGCGAGGCCGAAAGGCGUAGUCGAUGGGAAACGGGUUAAUAUUCCCGUACUUGGUGUUACUGCGAAGGGGGGACGGAGAAGGCUAUGUUGGCCGGGCGACGGUUGUCCCGGUUUAAGCGUGUAGGUGUGUGUUCCAGGUAAAUCCGGUUCACUUUAACACUG
Molecule: ribosomal RNA, 933 nt
Filed under: Salmonella enterica
Lineage: Bacteria; Pseudomonadati; Pseudomonadota; Gammaproteobacteria; Enterobacterales; Enterobacteriaceae
Also listed under: 3 other names
Description: partial 23S ribosomal RNA
Rfam family: Bacterial large subunit ribosomal RNA
Source: RNAcentral